AUGCGUGUUCAUCUUCCAAGCUGGUUGUACCAAAUCGAGUGGGAUGCGUGUCCAUCACGAAAGCUUGUAAGUGCGUUCUCUUGGAGCCCAGUUCUGACCGAGGCGUGGGCCGCGCGUUCGAGCUACUGCUGUUGCGCCGGCACCAGCAAGGCCGCAUCUCGCGUCGCUAAUCUGGAAAGGCGGAUGCCAGUCACCAGGGAGGUCACGGGUGCCGGGAAAGAGAACUUUGGCGCUGCGUUGAAAGGCCUCUUGUUCCUUUUUCGUCCCAGCCCGAGGAAGGGCAACAGAUUUCUCAUCCAAUGA
RNAcentral lists this ribosomal RNA (303 nucleotides) under Triticum aestivum (bread wheat). RNAcentral describes it as "partial small subunit ribosomal RNA". The record is from RNAcentral. Lineage: Eukaryota; Viridiplantae; Streptophyta; Magnoliopsida; Poales; Poaceae.